UGCAGUCGACGAGCUUCCGUUGAAUGACGUGCUUGCACUGAUUUCAACAAUGAAGCGAGUGGCGAACUGGUGAGUAACACGUGGGGAAUCUGCCCAGAAGCAGGGGAUAACACUUGGAAACAGGUGCUAAUACCGUAUAACAACAAAAUCCGCAUGGAUUUUGUUUGAAAGGUGGCUUCGGCUAUCACUUCUGGAUGAUCCCGCGGCGUAUUAGUUAGUUGGUGAGGUAAAGGCCCACCAAGACGAUGAUACGUAGCCGACCUGAGAGGGUAAUCGGCCACAUUGGGACUGAGACACGGCCCAAACUCCUACGGGAGGCAGCAGUAGGGAAUCUUCCACAAUGGACGAAAGUCUGAUGGAGCAAUGCCGCGUGAGUGAAGAAGGGUUUCGGCUCGUAAAACUCUGUUGUUAAAGAAGAACACCUUUGAGAGUAACUGUUCAAGGGUUGACGGUAUUUAACCAGAAAGCCACGGCUAACUACGUGCCAGCAGCCGCGGUAAUACGUAGGUGGCAAGCGUUGUCCGGAUUUAUUGGGCGUAAAGCGAGCGCAGGCGGUUUUUUAAGUCUGAUGUGAAAGCCUUCGGCUUAACCGGAGAAGUGCAUCGGAAACUGRGAGACUUGAGUGCAGAAGAGGACAGUGGAACUCCAUGUGUAGCGGUGGAAUGCGUAGAUAUAUGGAAGAACACCAGUGGCGAAGGCGGCUGUCUAGUCUGUAACUGACGCUGAGGCUCGAAAGCAUGGGUAGCGAACAGGAUUAGAUACCCUGGUAGUCCAUGCCGUAACGAUGAGUGCUA
Molecule: ribosomal RNA, 794 nt
Filed under: Levilactobacillus brevis
Lineage: Bacteria; Bacillati; Bacillota; Bacilli; Lactobacillales; Lactobacillaceae
Description: bacterial SSU rRNA
Rfam family: Bacterial small subunit ribosomal RNA
Source: RNAcentral